CAAUACCAAGUCCAUACGCUAACGCGUUUGGAUUCGCUCCCGCUCUAGCUUAAAUUUAAGCAGACCCGGAUCGAUGCGAGUAGCGUAAACGUCUCAUACGCGUUACUGGUAAAAUAGCUACGAGACUGUGACUACCUCUGCCGUUGUCUAAGGUAAUCAAGAUUGUAACAACUCGAGUCUAUGUUGUUUUGUUUCUUCUCAAGACAUAGAUUUUAAAUCAAAGAAGUAACUACACACUGUAGAGUCAUGAUGUGGUACCUGAUUCGGACGUGGAUUCAAUUUCCACCAUCUCCACUA
Molecule: transfer-messenger RNA, 297 nt
Filed under: Candidatus Kaiserbacteria bacterium
Lineage: Bacteria; Candidatus Kaiseribacteriota
Description: partial transfer-messenger RNA
Rfam family: transfer-messenger RNA
About the family: Bacterial tmRNA, also known as 10Sa RNA or SsrA, is named for its dual tRNA and mRNA-like properties. Its role is to liberate the mRNA from a stalled ribosome.
Source: RNAcentral